This 406-nucleotide ribosomal RNA is filed under the name uncultured bacterium. Its description in RNAcentral is "partial 16S ribosomal RNA". It matches the Rfam family "Bacterial small subunit ribosomal RNA", at positions 29 to 526 of the family's 1533-position model. The record is from RNAcentral.
AUUGAACGCUGGCGGCAGGCCUAACACAUGCAAGUCGAACGAGUGGCGGACGGGUGAGUCAUGUCUGGGAAACUGCCUGAUGGAGGGGGAUAACUACUGGAAACGGUAGCUAAUACCGCAUACCAUCGGAUGUGCCCAAAUGGGAUUAGCUAGUAGGUGGGGUAAAGGUUCACCUAGGCGACGAUCCCUAGCUGGUCUGAGAGGAUGACCCGCAAAACCGGAACUGGGACACGGUCCAGACGCCUCCGGGAGGCAGCAGUGGGGAUGAUUGCACAAUGGGCGAAAGCCUGAUGCAGCCAGGCCGCGUGUAUGAAGAAGGCCUUCGGGUUGUAAAGUACUUGCAGCGGGGAGGCGUUACCCGCAGAAGAAGCACCGGCUAACUCCGUGCCAGCCGCCGCGGUAAUAC